CCCUUAGAUGUCCUGGGCCGCACGCGUGCUACACUGACGCCUACAGCGAGUACUUCCCAGCCCCGAGAGGCGGCUGGUAAUCAGCAAUAGGCGUCGUGAUGGGGAUAGAUCUUUGGAAUUCUGGAUCUUGAACGAGGAAUGCCUAGUAAGCGCAGGCCAUUAGCCUGCGCUGAUUACGUCCCUGCCCUUUGUACACACCGCCCGUCGCUCCUACCGAUCUCGAGUGGUCCGGUGAAUCUUUCGGACUGCGCGCAGCUUCGUGCCGUGUCGCGGAAAGUCAGGUAAACCUAAUCACUUAGAGGAAGGACAANUCGUAACA
RNAcentral lists this ribosomal RNA (319 nucleotides) under uncultured eukaryote. RNAcentral's name for it is "partial 18S ribosomal RNA". It matches the Rfam family "Eukaryotic small subunit ribosomal RNA", at positions 1470 to 1796 of the family's 1831-position model. The record is from RNAcentral.